AUUGCCUUAGUAGCGGCGAGUGAAGCGGCAAAAGCUCAAAUUUGAAAUCUGGCACCUUCGGUGUCCGAGUUGUAAUUUGAAGAUUGUAACCUUGGGGUUGGCUCUUGUCUAUGUUUCUUGGAACAGGACGUCACAGAGGGUGAGAAUCCCGUGCGAUGAGAUGCCCAAUCCUAUGUAAGGUGCUUUCGAAGAGUCGAGUUGUUUGGGAAUGCAGCUCUAAGUGGGUGGUAAAUUCCAUCUAAAGCUAAAUAUUGGCGAGAGACCGAUAGCGAACAAGUACAGUGAUGGAAAGAUGAAAAGAACUUUGAAAAGAGAGUGAAAAAGUACGUGAAAUUGUUGAAAGGGAAGGGUUUGAGAUCAGACUCGAUAUUUUGUGAGCCUUGCCUUCGUGGCGGGGUGACCCGCAGCUUAUCGGGCCAGCAUCGGUUUGGGCGGUAGGAUAAUGGCGUAGGAAUGUGACUUUGCUUCGGUGAAGUGUUAUAGCCUGCGUUGAUGCUGCCUGCCUAGACCGAGGACUGCGAUUUUAUCAAGGAUGCUGGCAUAAUGAUCCCAAACCGCCCGUCUUGAA
RNAcentral lists this ribosomal RNA (568 nucleotides) under Meyerozyma guilliermondii. RNAcentral describes it as "partial large subunit ribosomal RNA". It matches the Rfam family "Eukaryotic large subunit ribosomal RNA", at positions 74 to 658 of the family's 3401-position model. The record is from RNAcentral. Lineage: Eukaryota; Fungi; Ascomycota; Pichiomycetes; Serinales; Debaryomycetaceae.